Molecule: ribosomal RNA, 445 nt
Filed under: uncultured bacterium
Lineage: Bacteria
Description: bacterial SSU rRNA
Rfam family: Bacterial small subunit ribosomal RNA
Source: RNAcentral
GUGAGGAAUAUUGGUCAAUGGGCGAGAGCCUGAACCAGCCAAGUAGCGUGCAGGACGACGGCCCUAUGGGUUGUAAACUGCUUUUAUAUGGGGAUAAAGUGAGCUACGUGUAGUUUAUUGCAGGUACCAUAUGAAUAAGGACCGGCUAAUUCCGUGCCAGCAGCCGCGGUAAUACGGAAGGUCCAGGCGUUAUCCGGAUUUAUUGGGUUUAAAGGGAGCGUAGGCCGCCCCUUAAGCGUGUUGUGAAAUGCCGCGGCUCAACCGUGGCACUGCAGCGCGAACUGGGGGGCUUGAGUGCACGCAACGCAGGCGGAAUUCGUGGUGUAGCGGUGAAAUGCUUAGAUAUCACGAAGAACUCCGAUUGCGAAGGCAGCUUGCGGGAGUGCGACUGACGCUGAAGCUCGAAGGUGCGGGUAUCGAACAGGAUUAGAAACCCUAGUAGUCC